UACCUGCUAUCUGUGUAAAUGUUGAU
RNAcentral lists this unclassified non-coding RNA (26 nucleotides) under Mus musculus (house mouse). Its description in RNAcentral is "piRNA piR-mmu-68516731". Lineage: Eukaryota; Metazoa; Chordata; Mammalia; Rodentia; Muridae. The record is from RNAcentral.